Molecule: ribosomal RNA, 497 nt
Filed under: uncultured bacterium
Lineage: Bacteria
Description: partial 16S ribosomal RNA
Rfam family: Bacterial small subunit ribosomal RNA
Source: RNAcentral
GAUGAACGCUGGCGGCGUGUCUAAUACAUGCAAGUCGAGCGAACAGACGAGGAGCUUGCUGCUCUGACGUUAGCGGCGGACGGGUGAGUAACACGUGGAUCACCUCCCUAUAUGACUGUGAUAACUUCGAGAAACCGGAGCUAAUACCGGAGAAUAUAUUGAACCGCAUGGUUCAAGAGUGAAAGCCGGUUUUGCUGGUGCUUAUAGAUGGAUCCGCGCCGCAUUAGCUAGUUGGGAAGGUAACGGCUUACCAAGGCAACGAUGCGUAGCCGACCUGAGGGGGUGAUAGCCCACACUGGAGCGUGGACGCCCUCCUGGCUCCUACGGGACGCCGCAGUAGGCUAUCUUCCGCAGUAGGCGAAAACCUGACGGAGCGACGCCGCGUCAGAGAUGAAAGCCUUCGGAUCGUAAAGCUCUGUUAUUAGGGGUGAACAAAUGUGUAAGUAACUAUGCCCGUCUUGACGGUACCUAGUAAGAAAGCACCGGCUAACUACGUG